RNAcentral lists this unclassified non-coding RNA (235 nucleotides) under Hevea brasiliensis (rubber tree). The record is from RNAcentral. Lineage: Eukaryota; Viridiplantae; Streptophyta; Magnoliopsida; Malpighiales; Euphorbiaceae.
UUUGGGUUUGGACGUGAACCGGGCAGCGGCGUUGCGAGCGGAGGAAGUUGAUCGGAAAAUGGAUCUGGCGGCGGUGAAAGAGGCCAUCUUAGGAAAAUAGAGACGCAAGUGUAUUGUAGGCGCUUUGAGAUGGGAACUUAAACCCGUCGGAGUCGAGGAGGGUUUGGAUGUAAGGAUAGCAAAGGCUGAAUUUAGGAUUAUUAUGCAAUUUCAUAUUGAUGUAAUUGUAAUUGGG